GGCGCUUACCACUUUGUGAUUCAUGACUGGGGUGAAGUCGUAACAAGGUAACCGUAGGGGAACCUGCGGUUGGAUCACCUCCUUACCUUAAAGAAGC
Molecule: ribosomal RNA, 97 nt
Filed under: Escherichia coli
Lineage: Bacteria; Pseudomonadati; Pseudomonadota; Gammaproteobacteria; Enterobacterales; Enterobacteriaceae
Also listed under: 12 other names
Description: partial 16S ribosomal RNA
Rfam family: Bacterial small subunit ribosomal RNA (bases 1-85)
Source: RNAcentral